RNAcentral lists this ribosomal RNA (831 nucleotides) under uncultured archaeon. Its description in RNAcentral is "bacterial SSU rRNA". It matches the Rfam family "Archaeal small subunit ribosomal RNA", at positions 21 to 859 of the family's 1478-position model. The record is from RNAcentral.
ACCUGACUGCUAUCGGAUUGGUACUAAGCCAUGCGAGUCAUUGUAGCAAUACAAGGCGGACGGCUCAGUAACACGUAGUCAACCUAACUCGUGGACGUGGAUAACCUCGGGAAACUGAGAAUAAACCACGAUAGAUCAUAGUGCCUGGAAUGGCUUAUGGUCCAAACAGUUUACUGCCAUGGGAUGGGACUGCGGCCUAUCAGCUUGUUGGUGAGGUAAUGGCCCACCAAGGCGAUUACAGGUACGGGCUCUGAGAGGAGAAGCCCGGAGAUGGGUACUGAGACACGGACCCAGGCCCUAUGGGGCGCAGCAGGCGAGAAACCUUAGCAAUGUGCGAAAGCACGACUGGGUCAGUCCGAGUGAUUCCUGAUAAAGGAGUCUUUUGCCUGUCCUAAAAGCACAGGUGAAUAAGGGGUGGGCAAGUCUGGUGUCAGCCGCCGCGGUAAUACCAGCACCUCGAGUGGUCAGGACGUUUAUUGGGCCUAAAGCAUCCGUAGCCGGCUCUGCAAGUCUUCGGUUAAAUCCACCUGCUCAACAGAUGGGCCGCUGGAGAUACUACAGAGCUAGGGAGUGGGAGAGGCAGACGGUAUUCAGUGGGUAGGGGUAAAAUCCUCUGAUCCAUUGAGGACCACCAGUGGCGAAGGCGGUCUGCCAGAACACGUUCGACGGUGAGGGAUGAAAGCUGGGGGAGCAAACCGGAUUAGAUACCCGGGUAGUCCCAGCUGUAAACGAUGCAAACUCGGUGAUGCAUUGGCUUAUGGCCAACGCAGUGCCGCAGGGAAGCCGUUAAGUUUGCCGCCUGGGAAGUACGGACGCAAGUCUGAAACUUAA